UACGUAGGGCGCAAGCGUUGUCCGGAAUUAUUGGGCGUAAAGAGCUCGUAGGCGGCCUGUUACGUCUGCUGUGAAAUCCCGGGGCUUAACCCCGGGCGUGCAGUGGAUACGGGCAGGCUGGAGGCAGGCAGGGGAGAACGGAAUUCCCGGUGUAGCGGUGAAAUGCGCAGAUAUCGGGAGGAACACCGGUGGCGAAGGCGGCGAUCUGGACGAUGACUGACGCUGAGACGCGAAAGCGUGGGGAGCAAACAGG
RNAcentral lists this ribosomal RNA (253 nucleotides) under uncultured bacterium. Its description in RNAcentral is "partial 16S ribosomal RNA". It matches the Rfam family "Bacterial small subunit ribosomal RNA", at positions 524 to 776 of the family's 1533-position model. The record is from RNAcentral.